RNAcentral lists this unclassified non-coding RNA (915 nucleotides) under Hevea brasiliensis (rubber tree). Lineage: Eukaryota; Viridiplantae; Streptophyta; Magnoliopsida; Malpighiales; Euphorbiaceae. The record is from RNAcentral.
UCUUGGUGAAAGAAAUCUGCACUCUUGAUAAAUCAAUUUCCACCGUCAAAUUCCAGAACAAGCACUACUGUUAUGAAUAACCUCGUAGCAAAUGAAUCUGUUAUGACAUCACAAUAGUCUCACAUGAUGGCUACCAAAGAGGACUAACAUAGUAAUAAAUGCUAAAAAUUUUAAUGUGGACACCACGACUAUGAAUGUCUAUAUAAAAUAAAUUUGAAGCAAUUAAACAACAAAUUUCUUCCUCUCCCCAACCUCUGGUUGCUACAACAUCUCCAACACAUCCUGUUUUACUCUAAAGGAGGAAAAACGUUGAGCUACUAGUGCCUUCUUUCCUUGGCCCGCUUCCUGGACUGUCGACCCUUUAUCUUCCACUUCUCAUUUCCAGCAGGACGAUUUUGUUCUUCUAUCUCUUGGACCUUGCGCUUCCUGUAAGCUGCGAGAGUACGAUCAGAAAGCACCUCAUCUGCAAUGGUUGCCUUCCUCUCCUUCUUAGUUAGCCUACCGGAGAAGAAAUCUAUUGCUGACUCUACAACUGUACCAACCUGGAAAUACUUGGGCAGUGUUUUUGAUUUUGAUUCACCCUUUUUAUAGUGUCUCUUUGGAUCAAGAGCACCCCUCAGCUUAAGUAACUGGAGAUCUUUUUUCAAUUCAGGCGUCAUAGUAGGGGCAGGCAUAUCAAACCAAUCUUUCCCAAGUGUAUCUUUAGCUUGACUUCUGAGUAACCUGUUAACCUUUCUAGGAUCGUUGGGUGGCACAAAUAGCCCGUCAAUAAGCUCUGUAUUGGGUUUCCAAAGUGCACUCCUCUCAGGUUGGUCUUGGGACUUGGUAUUACUAAUUUUAGUCAAAGAUGACAAAGGCGGCAACUUCGGCUCCCAUGAGAGCCCAAUCAACGACUUCUUUUCUCCCAUACUGAUU